UACCGAGGCCCCAAGCGUUACUGAGAAUCACUGGGUUUAAAGGGUGCGUAGGUGGCGCGUUAAGUCCGUUGUGAAAUCCCUGGGCUCAACCCAGGAAUUGCUUCGGAUACUGGCGUGCUUGAGGCUAGUAGGGGUCACUGGAACUGACGGUGGAGCGGUGAAAUGCGUAGAUAUCGUCAGGAACGCCGAUGGUGAAGACAGGUGACUGGGCUAGUUCUGACACUGAGGCACGAAAGCGUGGGGAGCGAACGGG
This 253-nucleotide ribosomal RNA is filed under the name uncultured bacterium. RNAcentral describes it as "partial 16S ribosomal RNA". It matches the Rfam family "Bacterial small subunit ribosomal RNA", at positions 524 to 776 of the family's 1533-position model. The record is from RNAcentral.